This is a long non-coding RNA of Oryzias melastigma (Indian medaka), 813 nucleotides long. RefSeq lists it as uncharacterized. The transcript has 3 exons. The record is from RefSeq and is a predicted model, not a curated record. NCBI's taxonomy places the organism in Eukaryota, Metazoa, Chordata, Actinopteri, Beloniformes, Adrianichthyidae.
UUAAAGGUUUUGUGGAAAAGCUGCACAUUCACAUUCCACGUAUUCAUCAGAACCAAUCAAAACUACCAAGGAUGACACACACUUUUUUCCAUUUCUGGACAUUUAUUUAGUACAAGUUUGAUUAAAAGCAGCCAAAAACCAACCAAUUUUCUCAAAUCUCCCCUGCUCCCUUCCUUUUGUUCUGCCUAAAAAAACCACCUGUGUUUUAUUGUCCAUUUCAGACGUGACACACACCCCCGCCGUACUUCUGACUUAAUCAUGACCCGGACACAUGCUCACUGAACGCAGGAGAAACUGAGGGAAAUAGACGAAUGAGAGAAAGACAAAAGGUGCAAAAGGUUCGACAUGAAUCACGAGGAGACAAGUGAAACGUUCAGGAGCAGCUGGAGGUGAUGAUUAUGAGAAAAAUCUGUGAGGAGGGAGAGGAAAGGGAAACAGGAGCUCCUCGAAGGCCAAAGAAUUGAUCAAUCAGUGGGUCGGCCCACCCUGAAGAGGCUUUUGGAGCAGGGGAAAAACUGCACGUUUGAAAGGAAAGCAGAAAUUCGGAAGUGGGCACGCAUGUCAGAGCUGAUCAGUCUGCAGCAGGUUCUGUCGGCCACAAAGGAAAAACUGAGCAGAAGCCAGCAAAAGAUUCUCGCUAUGAAAUUUCACUCUAAAGGUUUUGAACCCCUUGCAGAGCUGGUUUUGUGCCUUGACUGAAAUCUAUCAUUGUUUUUUCCAAAUAAAAAAAAGAGAAAAAAAUGUGUUUUUCUUGCAAAACCUCAAAGCUGAUAUCUGAAUUAAAAAGCUCAUUGUAAAAUAAUAACAAUAAUA